CAGCGUGCUCCGGGGUCGGUGAAAGUCCGAACCGGCGGUUACAGUCCGCGACCCGGUCGAUGCCAUCGACCGGUUGACCUGGUGAAAUUCCAGGACCGACGGUUAAAGUCCGGAUGGGAGGAAGCGCGCGA
Molecule: regulatory RNA element, 131 nt
Organism: Streptosporangium subroseum
Lineage: Bacteria; Bacillati; Actinomycetota; Actinomycetes; Streptosporangiales; Streptosporangiaceae
Rfam family: FMN riboswitch aptamer (RFN element)
About the family: The RFN element is a highly conserved domain that is found frequently in the 5'-untranslated regions of prokaryotic mRNAs that encode for flavin mononucleotide (FMN) biosynthesis and transport proteins. This element is a metabolite-dependent riboswitch that directly binds FMN in the absence of proteins. In Bacillus subtilis, the riboswitch most likely controls gene expression by causing premature transcription termination within the 5' untranslated region of the ribDEAHT operon and precluding access to the ribosome-binding site of ypaA mRNA.
Source: Rfam